This 2301-nucleotide small RNA is filed under the name Drosophila virilis. Its description in RNAcentral is "GJ25763". The record is from RNAcentral. Lineage: Eukaryota; Metazoa; Arthropoda; Insecta; Diptera; Drosophilidae.
UGCUGUAUAUGUGUGUGUAUGCUACUACUACUUAGUUGGGGUUAUAGGCACUAUCCGGCGGCGCCAGAAUAGAAACAAAUAAACGGGUACAGUUUAGCUUUUAAAGAAAAACCGCCUUUGGGCUUGUUUUUCGAAAUCUUGUUUCGAAGGUUAAACGUUGCCCCUACGAAUGUUCCAAUAGUAUUUUGCGGUUGGCGAAAGAGCAAAGGCAAACAAGUGGCAAAAGGUAGCAAGAAGAAGAAAAAAGAAAGAAAAACUAAUUACAUUUGCAUUGCUGAUGCCAUUUUAUGUCUAUGCAAACAUAUAUGCCCGCACAGAGAUAUUGAAAAACAGUACUAUGAAAUUGUUGUAGCUGUUUUUUUUUCUCUGAGUGCUUUGUUUACCAGACAAAUUGAAUUAUGUGCCACGAAAAAUACGCUAUUUAUAUAAAACAUAUAUUUGUAAUGUGUUUUUGUCGUGCUUUACUAAACUCAUGAAUAAUAAAUGCGAUCGGCACGUGCGCCACUUAAAAAAAAAAUAGCAAAACAGCAAAUAUGAAAUGGCUAUAAAUAGCAAAAGAAAAGAAAACGAAAAAAAAGCGAUAACGAUAAAACGCACAGCCAAUCGAUGACUGUCUGACGUGCUGUCUACGGUGUCGUUCGCAUGUAUGUGUGCAUGUGAAUGCAUGUGUAUUUGUACAACACAAGUGGUCUCCAGCACACACGCAUAUGCAAAUACAUGUUUCAAAGGCCAUCGGCUGAUUUCUAUGGAAAUACCGCUAUUAUACGCGUGAAUUCUUGGGGGCAAAUAUGCGAAUCGGCUCACGUUUUACACAACGCAUUGAAAUUCGCUCAAAUUCAAUAUUAAUAGGCAUAAUCACAUAACUAUUUAAGCAUGUGACAGCAUCAGACAGACGUGAUAUAAAACAACAGGGCGACUAUACAGUUAAUUAUUUCUCUUGCACAUUUCACUUUAGCCCACAAUCUAGGUACGACAGCUAUGUAUGUACAUACUAUAUACGUAACUGCAAAUGGGUCGCUUGGGUAAACAUGUCAAAUGGCUGAAAACUGCUGCAUAAAGCUGUCUGUAAAUAUGCUUAAACGUUAGAUAGAAUGCUGGCUCAAAGCAAACAUGUACCGCAAUAAGAAGCAAUAAAACACAUAUGCAAAGACACAAUUUGAGAGAUUUAAAACAAAAACAGUCAACAAAUAAACACAGUCAUUCGUUGUUUUUUUUUUUUUUUUUAUUAUUGCUGUAGCAAUGACAAAAGCAGGCAGCGAUAAGAUGGUUGACAGCUUUAUGAUGUUUAUCACGUUGAUAAGAUAACGCGAAAACGUGUAAAGUGGCAGAAAUGCAGCCUCCUUCAAUUUUAUGAGCUUCUUAUUAAACAGGUUCUAGCAUAUUUUCUAUUGAAAGCUCUUCGUUUCAUUAGUCGAUUGACCCAAUAUUGUAUUGUUCUGGCAACUCUUGCAACGCAUACAAACGCGCGAAUAUACAUAUACAUAUGUAUACACAUACACUCACACAACCAUUAACGACGCUUACUUGCCACACAGCUGAGUUGCAUGGCGAGUGGAAUUUUCCAUUGUUUGUCAAUACAUGAAUUGCCCGUUUGCUUGGUUGUGUGUGGGAAUGUGUAUGUGUGUUUUGUUUGUGACGUAAGGUAGGCGAACAGUGGCUACUGCUGGGCCAAAAACCGCGCCACGAAGAGGCAGAGUUGCACUCAAUGGAAGAAGCUUCCAGCCGGAUGACAAACAACAACAACAACAACAAUGGGUAAAUAUAAAUACGCAGCGAAAAAAAACCGGUCGCAGUUUCAUUCUGCUUGGUCUUAUUAGAUAUUUCCUAGCUCUACUGCAACUGAGAAACGUCUCUUUACAAAGUCAUAAGGGUCGAACUUUUUUUUUAUUAUUAUUAUUUUUGUUGUUUAUUUUGGCAGCGAGAUAACAUACCAGAGUGCAAACAAUGCUGACGAGGCUGCUCGUCGGAUACGGACACUCAGAUAAGGGCGACCAAUAAAAGUCAUAAUGUUUACCGCGUAAUAACUGUAAUUUCUAGCAAAACUCCGUUUGUUUUCUCGCAGCCGUCUAGAAAGUUCCAGUCGCCGCAUACAAUACAGUUGCAUUGCAAGACAAGUGCAAGCAGCACACUGCAUAAACGGCACUUGUCAAAAGUCAAGAGAAUCGAGCAAAUUAAAAGCGAAUUACAGUAAAAUUGUGUCUUGGGGUGAGAGCCACAAACAGGCGCACAAGAUGGCUGCUACGAAGAGAAAAACAAAAUAAAAUACGCAAAAUAAAGUAAAACAAUUACAUUUCAAAAAAA